Molecule: ribosomal RNA, 466 nt
Filed under: uncultured bacterium
Lineage: Bacteria
Description: bacterial SSU rRNA
Rfam family: Bacterial small subunit ribosomal RNA
Source: RNAcentral
UGCCAGACUCCUACGGGAGGCAGCAGUGAGGAAUAUUGGUCAAUGGGCGAGAGUCUGAACCAGCCAAGUCGCGUGAGGGAGUACUGCCCUAUGGGUUGUAAACCUCUUUUGUCGGGGAGCAAAAGCCGGACGUGUCCGGCUGUGAGAGUACCCGAAGAAAAAGCAUCGGCUAACUCCGUGCCAGCAGCCGCGGUAAUACGGAGGAUGCGAGCGUUAUCCGGAUUUAUUGGGUUUAAAGGGUGCGCAGGCGGGGGCACAAGUCAGCGGUAAAAUCGCGGGGCUCAACCCCGCUCCGCCGUUGAAACUGUGUCCCUUGAGUGCGCGAAGGGUAGGCGGAAUGCGUGGUGUAGCGGUGAAAUGCAUAGAUAUCACGCAGAACUCCGAUCGCGAAGGCAGCCUACCGGCGCGCAACUGACGCUCAUGCACGAAAGCGUGGGUAUCGAACAGGAUUAGAUACCCGGGUAAG